Non-coding RNA from Oryza glaberrima (African rice), 205 nucleotides. NCBI's taxonomy places the organism in Eukaryota, Viridiplantae, Streptophyta, Magnoliopsida, Poales, Poaceae. The record is from Rfam.
CCUCUGUCCCAUUUUAGUUUUCGUGUUCAACUUUUAUCGUUCGUCUUAUUUAAAAAAUUUUUAUAAUUAGUAUUUUUGUUAUUAUGAGAUGAUAAAACAUGAACAAUACUUUACUCAUGAAUUAUGUUUUUUAAAUUUUCUCAAAAAAUUUUCAAAUAAUACGGACGAUCAAAGUUAGGCGGGAAAAAUCAUGAUUGCACUUAAA